RNAcentral lists this ribosomal RNA (232 nucleotides) under uncultured bacterium. RNAcentral describes it as "partial 16S ribosomal RNA". It matches the Rfam family "Bacterial small subunit ribosomal RNA", at positions 99 to 334 of the family's 1533-position model. The record is from RNAcentral.
CGAACGGGUGAGUAAUGCUUCGGAAUCUGCCCAAUGGUGGGGAAUAACCAGCCGAAAGGUUGGCUAAUACCGCAUAAGUCCUACGGGAGAAAGCAGGGGAUCGCAAGACCUUGCGCCGAUGGAUGAGCCGAAGCCGGAUUAGCUAGUUGGUAGGGUAACGGCCUACCAAGGCGACGAUCCGUAGCUGGUCUGAGAGGACGACCAGCCACACUGGGACUGAGACACGGCCCAG